This is an RNA transcript of Mauremys reevesii (Reeves's turtle), 4397 nucleotides long. It is a transcript of the gene named EPH receptor B2, with no coding region annotated. The transcript has 17 exons. NCBI's taxonomy places the organism in Eukaryota, Metazoa, Chordata, Testudines, Geoemydidae. The record is from RefSeq and is a predicted model, not a curated record.
GCCCGCCCGGGCUCCCCGCGCCCGCCAUGGCGCUGCUGGCCGGCUGCUGCCUCCUCCUGCUGCUGCUGCUGCCCCUGCUCGCCGCCGUGGAGGAAACGCUAAUGGACUCCACCACGGCGACGGCAGAGCUGGGCUGGACAGUGCAUCCUCCCUCAGGGUGGGAAGAGGUGAGCGGAUACGACGAGAACAUGAACACGAUCCGGACGUACCAGGUGUGCAAUGUCUUUGAGUCCAAUCAGAACAACUGGCUGCGGACCAAGUACAUACGGAGGAGAGGAGCUCACCGCAUUCACGUGGAGAUGAAAUUUUCCGUCCGGGACUGCAGCAGCAUCCCCAACGUUCCCGGCUCCUGCAAGGAGACCUUCAAUCUCUACUACUUCGAAUCUGACUUUGACUCGGCCACCAAGACCUUUCCCAACUGGAUGGAGAACCCCUGGGCAAAGGUGGACACCAUCGCGGCUGAUGAGAGCUUCUCCCAGGUGGACCUGGGUGGCCGCGUGAUGAAGAUCAACACCGAGGUGCGCAGCUUCGGGCCGGUCUCCAAGAACGGAUUCUAUCUGGCGUUCCAGGACUAUGGGGGCUGCAUGUCCUUAAUCGCUGUCCGGGUCUUCUACCGCAAGUGCCCCCGAGUGAUCCAGAACGGGGCCGUGUUUCAGGAGACGCUCUCGGGAGCAGAGAGCACUUCGCUGGUGGCGGCCAGGGGGUCCUGCAUUACCAAUGCAGAGGAGGUGGAUGUCCCCAUCAAGCUGUACUGCAAUGGGGACGGGGAGUGGCUGGUGCCCAUUGGACGGUGCAUGUGCAAGGCUGGCUACGAAUCGGUGGAGAACGGGACUGUCUGCAGAGGCUGCCCAUCGGGGACGUUCAAGGCCAGCCAAGGGGACGAAGGGUGCGUUCAUUGCCCAAUUAACAGCAGGACAACUUCGGAAGGGGCCACCAACUGUGUGUGCCGAAAUGGAUAUUACCGGGCAGACUCCGACCCCCUGGAUAUGCCAUGCACCACCAUCCCGUCUGCCCCCCAGGCUGUGAUCUCCAGUGUGAACGAGACGUCGCUGAUGCUGGAGUGGACCCCGCCCCGGGACGCUGGGGGCCGCGAGGACCUGGUGUACAAUAUCAUCUGCAAGAGCUGCGGCUCGGGGCGCGGUGCCUGCACCCGCUGUGGGGACAACGUGCAGUUCUCCCCACGCCAGCUGGGCCUGACAGAGCCCCGCAUCUACAUCAGCGACCUGCUGGCUCACACCCAGUACACCUUUGAGAUCCAGGCCGUGAACGGGGUCACCGACCAGAGCCCCUUCUCCCCGCACUUUGCCUCCGUCAAUAUCACCACCAACCAGGCCGCCCCUUCUGCUGUAUCCAUCAUGCACCAGGUCAGCCGGACGGUGGACAGCAUUACCUUAUCGUGGUCUCAGCCUGACCAGCCCAACGGAGUCAUCCUGGAUUAUGAGCUGCAAUACUUUGAGAAGGAUCUGAGUGAAUUCAAUGCCACAGCAGUGAAGAGCCCCACCAACACCAUGACUGUGCAGAACCUCAAAGCCGGCACCAUCUACGUCUUCCAGGUGCGGGCACGCACCGUGGCCGGCUACGGCCGCUACAGUGGCAAGAUGUACUUCCAGACCAUGACCGAAGCUGAGUACCAGACCAGUGUCCAGGAGAAGCUGCCACUCAUCAUCGGCUCCUCUGCAGCGGGUCUGGUGUUCCUCAUUGCCGUGGUCGUCAUCAUCAUUGUGUGCAACAGAAGACGGGGCUUCGAGCGAGCCGACUCCGAGUACACUGACAAGCUGCAGCACUAUACCAGUGGCCACAGUACGUACCGCGCACCCGUGCCUGGCCUGGGGGUCCAUUCCUUCUUCGUGACUCCUGGAAUGAAGAUUUACAUUGACCCCUUCACCUAUGAAGACCCCAAUGAGGCCGUCAGGGAAUUUGCAAAGGAAAUUGACAUCUCUUGUGUCAAAAUUGAGCAGGUGAUCGGAGCAGGGGAGUUUGGGGAAGUGUGCAGUGGGCACCUCAAGCUGCCUGGCAAGAGAGAGAUCUUUGUGGCCAUCAAAACGCUGAAGUCGGGUUACACGGAGAAGCAGAGACGGGACUUCCUGAGCGAGGCCAGCAUCAUGGGGCAGUUCGACCACCCCAACGUUAUCCACCUGGAGGGCGUGGUCACCAAGAGCGCCCCUGUCAUGAUCAUCACUGAGUUCAUGGAGAAUGGCUCCCUGGACUCCUUCCUCCGGCAAAACGAUGGGCAGUUCACGGUGAUCCAGCUGGUGGGCAUGCUGCGGGGCAUCGCCGCGGGCAUGAAGUACCUGGCCGACAUGAACUACGUGCACCGGGACCUGGCUGCCCGCAACAUCCUCGUCAACAGCAACCUGGUCUGCAAGGUGUCCGACUUCGGCCUGUCCCGCUUCCUGGAGGAUGACACCUCGGAUCCCACCUACACCAGCGCGCUGGGUGGGAAGAUCCCGAUCCGGUGGACGGCGCCCGAAGCAAUUCAGUAUAGGAAAUUCACCUCAGCCAGCGACGUGUGGAGCUAUGGCAUAGUCAUGUGGGAGGUGAUGUCCUAUGGGGAGCGGCCCUACUGGGAUAUGACCAAUCAAGAUGUGAUAAAUGCGAUAGAGCAGGAUUAUCGGCUGCCCCCUCCCAUGGACUGCCCAAACGCCUUGCACCAGCUAAUGCUCGACUGUUGGCAGAAGGACCGGAACCACAGGCCCAAAUUCGGGCAAAUUGUCAACACGUUAGACAAAAUGAUCCGAAACCCCAAUAGCCUGAAAGCCAUGGCACCCCUCUCCUCCGGGAUUAACCUCCCUUUACUGGACCGCACAAUCCCCGAUUACACCAGUUUCAACACAGUGGAUGAAUGGCUGGAUGCCAUCAAGAUGGGCCAGUACAAGGAGAGCUUUGCCAGUGCCGGCUUUGCCACCUUUGACGUGGUGUCCCAGAUGACCAUGGAGGACAUUCUGCGAGUUGGGGUCACUUUAGCAGGCCAUCAGAAGAAAAUUCUGAACAGUAUCCAAGUGAUGCGAGCACAGAUGAAUCAGAUCCAAUCUGUGGAGGUUUGAUGUUCACACGUCUUCACACUCCUCUUCCUCAAGGCCCUUCUCCCCUUUGCCCCUGUAUGUCCAAGCUCCAGUUCUUGAGUGUUCUGCAUUCACCAGAGACCGGCAGCUGCUCUAAGGAUCGUGGCAACAGGAAGAAACAUCCUGACAACAAAAAGUUGCCAAGAGCUUCUGGAAUUUAAGCAAUGGAAAAAAGGGAACAAGGAAGACAAAUAUUUUGGGAAAACUAUGAAAUAUUUUUUAAAAAUAAUAAUAAUAAAGCAAUGGCAUUUUCGAAAAGGGCUCUGAGAUCCACAGGAGUCUCCAAAGGGAGACAAAAGAGCAGAUCCUUUCGUUUCCUUCUUGCACAAGGCUGCUUCUGCAGGCUCAGACGCCUCUGGAGCAAAGAGACUUUGUCAAGGAGAUGAAAGCCAAGUGAAGACAUGGGAAGCGCUCCUCCUUUUCUCCCUUGGGAUGGUGACUCUGGGGACAUCCUGCAGCCAGCAGUCAUCCCUGAAAGCCCCCAGCUGGCAAAUCACAGGGGGAGAGAGAGUUGGGAAGUUCUUGCCAUGUAAUGGACCAAGCGCAUCUGUAAAGUGGCAAACUUUUGCAAAGCUGAAGAUUUUUGUAAAAUAAACGAACUGAGACAAGAAGAGUCUUUUUUUUCUGCAGAUGAGAAGGAACCUUGAACCCAUUGGGAGUGGGGGAUGGGGAAACCAAUCCUUUUUAGAGCUCUUAUUUUCUCUUGACAUGGAACGGUUUAGUGAGUGACGCGUUUUCCAGGGGUCUGCCCAUCCAGCCCUCCAAUGGCAUCAUUGUCUCAUACAUAUCAUAUGCACAAGACUUUUAGUGAUCGCCUCACUAGUUGCCAAUGACCUUUUCUCAGAAGACUUCCCAAGUACAAACCUCAUGGCUCGAAGCCCUCAUUGGGAGGGAGAGGGACCCUUCGACUGCCCAAGACGAGUAACUAAUCAGUGUUCCAUCUGCUCAUUAGCCACCCAACAUUUGCCUCAUGGAUUGACCUGGUUAUCUGGUGGGCCCAAGGGGGGUCCCAAUCCUGGUUUACCUGCUCUGUCUUGCCCUGUACAUUGGCUGUGGCCCUGUGGACAAUGUAAUGCUUUUCAUGACAGUGUUUGUAUUUUUUUAAACGUGAAUGGGGAGAUAGCGUGCAGGUCCUUGUAACACAGGGGUGUGUGUCUUCCAUUCCGACCAGGGCUUCCCCUGGCCUCGUCAAACAUCUUUGGAUGUUACUCAGAAAAAAUAAAAUAAAAUAAAUCGGAUGUAUUUAUAAACAAAACAGAAACCUGCUGCUCCAAUGCCUUUGUAGGAGUAUUUUUAACAAAACAUUUUUUCAAAAUAAAUGUGAAUUGUAACGUU